This 514-nucleotide ribosomal RNA is filed under the name uncultured bacterium. Its description in RNAcentral is "bacterial SSU rRNA". It matches the Rfam family "Bacterial small subunit ribosomal RNA", at positions 33 to 518 of the family's 1533-position model. The record is from RNAcentral.
ACACGCUGGCGGCGUGCCUAAUACAUGCAAGUCGAACGGUCUUUCUAUGGAAGCUUGCUUCCACUGAGAAGAUAGUGGCGGACGGGUGAGUAACACGUAGGUAACCUGCCCAUAAGAGGGGGAUAACAUCCGGAAACGGGUGCUAAUACCGCAUAGUUUUCUUGAUCGCAUGAUUGAGAAAGGAAAGACGGCCUUUGUGCUGUCGCUUAUGGAUGGACCCGCGGCGUAUUAGUUAGUUGGUGGGGUAAUGGCUCACCAAGACGAUGAUACGUAGCCGACCUGAGAGGGUGAUCGGCCACAUUGGGACUGAGACACGGCCCAAACUCCUACGGGAGGCAGCAGUAGGGAAUCUUCCGCAAUGGACGAAAGUCUGACGGAGCAACGCCGCGUGAGUGAAGAAGGUUUUCGGAAUCGUAAAACUCUGUUGUCAGAGAAGAACAAGUUGGAGAGUAACUGCUCCAGCCUUGACGGUAUCUGACCAGAAAGCCACGGCUAACUACGUGCCAGCAGCAGC